GAUUGGCUUAGCAUUAUGGAACUAACUACUAGUAUAGGAUAUACCCAGCCUUGGUAUCAUGUGAUGUGUGAUGUAGCAAUGCUUGUAGGAGAUAUGAUGUCAUAAAGCAGAUGCAUUGUCGGAGAGCAAGAUGUGAUGGGAACUUAUGGGUGUGGUUAUAGAAAGUGGGUGUGAUGUCAGAGAGUGCUGCAAUGUCAGUGCACAUUAGUAUAAUGUCAUAAAGUAGGUGGAGAUGUCACUAUUAUAGUGACAGUGAGUAUAGUAUCAAAGAAUAACAGCACUAUAAGACUUGCAGGUAUAAUUUCAGAGACUGUGUAUGAUGUCAGAGAGCAGAGGGAGGAAGGAGGAAGUGUAAUUAUGACGUGAUGUCAGAUAAUGAAUGUAGUGCCAGGAUUUGAUAUAAGAAAGUGAAUGUGAUUGCAUUCACACAGACUUAUUAGCUAAAGUUAGAAUCCAACGUGGAAUUCAAAAUUAGGGCCAAAAUAGCUACAUGGGAAAAUUAUUAUUAGUUAGCUUUGGUUCACUUCAGCUAUUCUGGCUUUAAAGUAACACUAUAUGCACCAAAAUAACCUUUGCUUAAUAAAGAAGGUUU
Non-coding RNA from Pelobates cultripes (western spadefoot toad), 592 nucleotides. Lineage: Eukaryota; Metazoa; Chordata; Amphibia; Anura; Pelobatidae. The record is from the annotation of a GenBank genome assembly.